UCCCCGUUUAAGCGAGGCAGUCUGUCCAGAGUGCUCCAGUCUCUCGACCGGGUGGCAACAGGACAUAGGGGUUGCGCUCGUUGCGGGAUUUAACCCAACAUCUCACGACACGAGCUGACGACAGCCAUGCAGCACCUGUGCAAGCUCCCCUUGCGGGGUCGUUCCGCUUUCACGGUCCUACCACUUGCAUGUCAAGGCCAGGUAAGGUUCUUCGCGUUGCAUCGAAUUAAGCCACAUACUCCACCGCUUGUGCAGGCCCCCGUCAAUUUCUUUGAGUUUUAAUCUUGCGACCGUACUCCCCAGGCGGCGCGUUUAUCGCGUUAGCUUCGGCACAGACAGAUUCGACUCCGCCCACACCUAGUGUUCAUCGUUUACGGCGUGGACUAC
RNAcentral lists this unclassified non-coding RNA (387 nucleotides) under uncultured Verrucomicrobiae bacterium. RNAcentral's name for it is "contains 16S-23S intergenic spacer region". The record is from RNAcentral. Lineage: Bacteria; Pseudomonadati; Verrucomicrobiota; Verrucomicrobiia.